This 334-nucleotide ribosomal RNA is filed under the name uncultured archaeon. RNAcentral describes it as "bacterial SSU rRNA". It matches the Rfam family "Archaeal small subunit ribosomal RNA", at positions 1046 to 1376 of the family's 1478-position model. The record is from RNAcentral.
CGAGAUCCCCUGCCUNUAGUUGCCACCAUUUACUCUCAGGAGUAGUGGGGCGAAUUAGCGGGACCGCCGCAGUUAAUGCGGAGGAAGGAAGGGGCCACGGCAGGUCAGUAUGCCCCGAAACUCUGGGGCCACACGCGGGCUGCAAUGGUAAUGACAAUGGGUUCCAAAUCCGAAAGGAGGAGGUAAUCCCCAAACAUUACCACAGUUAUGACUGAGGGCUGCAACUCGCCCUCACGAAUAUGGAAUCCCUAGUAACUGCGUGUCAUUAUCGCGCGGUGAAUACGUCCCUGCUCCUUGCACACACCGCCCGUCGUUUCAGUUGAAGUGAGCUUUA